AAGGCGCAGACUCGCCAGGCCUGGCGGCGGCGCAGACGCAAAGCGCCAGUCCCAACCCCGGCCCCUCUGGCUCCCGAAGGCGCGGCAUCCUCCGCCUCGCGACCCCGAGGCCUCCCUGUUCCCAUGGUCCUCUGGCUCCUGCGAGGCCGCAGGUCCUCACCUGAAGGCUUGAAGACUCGUGAAAAGCUGUCCGCGGGGCUGAGACCCAGGAUCGCUCUGGACCAGGUUGAGUACUGUCCCAACACAUCCCGAUCUGCAGAUGUGGAAACUCAUCUUCAGCUCUCCUGGACCAGCCAUUUUCUGCCAACCUUGGUGGCAAAUGCUCUCUGACAUCAUACCUCCAACAAUUGUAUCUUUAAUUUCUGUGGCAUUCAGUGAGAAGUUCUCACUGCUAAAUCUACAACCAAGUAAGACAAAGAUAGGACAAAUUUGGUUCAGUAAGGACAUGCAAGAGGAGGGCAUUACUAAGAUAUCUGUAGGGGGAAACUAUAACACAUGUCAUCUUGGAAAUCCUCAAAAUCCUAGAGUUGAAAUAAAUGGGACAGUUAUACAGUGUGA
Molecule: long non-coding RNA, 558 nt
Organism: Chlorocebus sabaeus (green monkey)
Lineage: Eukaryota; Metazoa; Chordata; Mammalia; Primates; Cercopithecidae
Source: RefSeq, a predicted model, not a curated record